This 361-nucleotide transfer-messenger RNA is filed under the name Staphylococcus gallinarum. RNAcentral describes it as "Standard tmRNA". It matches the Rfam family "transfer-messenger RNA". Rfam says of the family: Bacterial tmRNA, also known as 10Sa RNA or SsrA, is named for its dual tRNA and mRNA-like properties. Its role is to liberate the mRNA from a stalled ribosome. To accomplish this part of the tmRNA is used as a reading frame that ends in a translation stop signal. Lineage: Bacteria; Bacillati; Bacillota; Bacilli; Caryophanales; Staphylococcaceae. The record is from RNAcentral.
GGGGACGUUCUUGGAUUCGACAGGGGUCCCCCGAGCUAAUUAAGCGUGUCGGAGGGUUGUCUCCGCAACAACACACACAGUUAAUAAUAACUGGCAAAUCAAACAAUAAUUUCGCAGUAGCUGCCUAAUAGCACUCUGCAUCGCCUAACUGCAUCUCCUAUGUGCAGUUAACGCGAUUCAACCUUAAGUAGGAUACGCUAGACACUGCCGUUUGAAGUCUGUCUAGAAGAGAUGAAUCAAACUAGUAUGAUGUUGGUUGUCUAUCUCCUACCAUCAUGCGAAAUUGAUUGAUAGACUACACACGUAGAAAGGUUAGUAUCAGGACCUCUGGACGCGGGUUCAAAUCCCGCCGUCUCCAUAC